AAACAAUUUUGCACACGUAGAAAAUUGAUCUGUGGAUAAGCACAACAAUCUGCAUAACUGGAGCCACAGAAGUUGGCAGUUCCUAACACAGUGCUUGACAUAAAAGAAGGGCUCACUGAAUCUCAUCAGGAAUCAGAAGACACUUGGUUAUCAUGGAAUGGGAGGAAAAGAAACGAGACAGACCAAUGAAACAGUUAACUGAACCUAUAGCAAAAAGAACUAUCCCAUAAAAGGAACAAGAUAAGAAUUCCUAUUAUAAUUGCUGCUGUUUUAAACAAUAUUGGAUGUUCUCACAAAUACCGUAAGUAUAGCAAAAG
Long non-coding RNA from Suricata suricatta (meerkat), 317 nucleotides. RefSeq lists it as uncharacterized. NCBI's taxonomy places the organism in Eukaryota, Metazoa, Chordata, Mammalia, Carnivora, Herpestidae. The transcript is spliced from 3 exons. The record is from RefSeq and is a predicted model, not a curated record.